UAGUCUUAUCGGUGGAUCACUCGGCUCGUAGAUCGAUGAAGAACGCAGCCAACUGCGAUAAUUAGUGCGAACUGCAGAUAUUUUGAGCACUAAAGUUUCGAAUGCACAUUGCGCCAUUGGAUUUCAUCCUUUGGCACGUCUGAUUCAGGGUCGUAAAUACAAAACC
Molecule: ribosomal RNA, 166 nt
Filed under: Ditylenchus destructor
Lineage: Eukaryota; Metazoa; Nematoda; Chromadorea; Rhabditida; Anguinidae
Description: 5.8S ribosomal RNA
Rfam family: 5.8S ribosomal RNA
About the family: 5.8S ribosomal RNA (5.8S rRNA) is a component of the large subunit of the eukaryotic ribosome. It is transcribed by RNA polymerase I as part of the 45S precursor that also contains 18S and 28S rRNA. Functionally, it is thought that 5.8S rRNA may be involved in ribosome translocation.
Source: RNAcentral